CCUCCCUCUUUUUUCUUUUCUUGCAGGGGGUGGUGGGAGCUGGAGGAGGAGGAGGAGGAGGAAUCACGUGCAAAUACAGGCUAAGUCCUGAUAAGAAUCCUGAAAGUAAACAAUGAAUUCCUACUAAUGGCUAAGUCACCAAGGUAAGAUCAAGUCUAAAUACACACCCUUAGUUAAAUAUGAUUUCAUUAACUCACAUUACGUGGCUCCGCUGAAGUUUUUCUCCUUCUGAUCCCUGUCGGGUGAAUUGCACACGAGGUUGAUCAAUCAUUUUCUGACAGUCUGUUUGCAUCUGCUCCGGGUUCGAAGCAGGGCAGCCUUUGAAAGGUUUCGCUUUGCUUUGCAAGUCUCGGGCAACCACUGCUUCUCUCAGCCUGCUCCCCUUGCUGGGUCACAAGUCUGCCCUUCUCCGGGGGCUAGUGCAGGCAUAGGCAAACUCCGGCCCUCCAGAUGUUUGGGACUACAAUUCCCAUCAUACCCUAGCUAACAGGACCAGUGGUCAGGGAUGAUGGGAAUUGUAGUCCCAAACAUCUGGAGGGCUGGAGUUUGCCUAUGCCUGGGCUAGUGAGGCUGGAUAGGCUUUCUUAGAGAACACCAGAGGCUUAGAAACUUAGGAAGUCAGACCAGUAUAAUUUACCGUGAUAGGCAGCAGCUCCCCAAGGCUCCAGGCACCCUACCUGGAGAUGUCUAGGAUUUAACCUGCGGCCUUCUGUAUGUGGAACGGAUGUUCCACCACAGACCUAUGGCCAGCGGCUCAUGUUGAGCAAUGAGAAUGAUUGGGCAAAGGUUGGGGAGAUCAAAUGGUAGGUGGAGCCGGAGCCAAUGACAGGCAGUCAGCUAACUCUGGUUUUGUCCCACCCUCCUCCUCCAUGUUGAGGUCUCCUCCUGCUGGUUCUCUAUCCCUUCUGCAGGCAUCACCUGGUUUCGGUAUAUUUUUAAUUAGCUUUUCGGAUCUACAAAACAGUUCUCAGCUCCAGGAUAUCGUCAAACCAGCAAUCGUCCUUAUCUGUACACAAAAUAAAUUGUGAAGCAUAUGUAAGAACGCAAAAACCACAGGUGUAUAGUAGUUUUGAAAGUUAUACUGAGGGCUGCAAGGUGGCCACAUAAUCACAACAUCAAGUUUAUGCUAUAUGUAACUCCUUGACCAAAUCCACUCAUAAGCAAGAGGGGGUUCUAGACCGUGUUCCUCUUUACCUACAAAUGAAAUAAAAGUGAACUGAAAUGGCCCCUGGUAACUCUUAAUUUGCCUGUUAAUUUCUCCAGAAGAGCAAUAUCCCAAACUUUAGUUAUACCAGGUUCUAAUAUUAGCCCCAAUAGUUAAUAAGUGUGGGCUAGUUGAGAGGAGACUGAGGUUGGUGGAGCAGCACCCCAAUAGACCUAAUGGACCAACCAGCCCCCAUUGCCUAUGGCCCCUUUCACUUGUUCAUUAUCCCUUCUGUAGGCAUAGUCUGGUUUCCAUACAUUUAAUGAGUGGCAGUGGACUACCAUUAUUGAAACAAAGCUGGUUGCUUUGAGGUGAGGUGGAAGUUUUCCUGUAAGUGCCAUAUCUGUACCAGAUCAUUCCCAUGUCGGGCUUGUUGUAUCCAGUCAUAACAGUCAGAAAGACAUACAUUCACAGACUUGGUGAGCAAGUGGCUAAAAAGCAUUCACUGCUGCCUGAAAGGGUGCUAUAACACAGCAAAGCAAGCAACACUUUGGGAAUUAUUAUUUCCACCAUGUAAUCCUUUGAGAAUGGUGCAGUUGCAUUUCAUCUGCUAACAGAUGCAGGCGCCCAUUUUUCGGACAAUAGGAAUUACCAGUAACUGGAGCAAGGGUCUUUGUGACAUCAAGAAUCCACAUCAGAUGUUGUAACAACUUUCUCUAGUACAGUAAAUGCACCCUUCAGUCUUGCUCAGCAUUCUGUAGCCCUUUUUGAAAGUGCUUGCAGAGGGUUUUGGUUGUUAAAAAAGUUGUCAAGUCGAAUGUGUCAAACCAAAAUUUGAAAGUCGGUGCAUUUGUGGGGGCAGGAGAGGAGGAGGGUAUUUAGAGGAGGAAGCUAUUUAGAGGAGUGGGGGAGAGAAAACAUCAGUUUUGGUCUUGCCCCAAACUGACAGAACACCCAAAGUAAAGACAAGGUAAAAUGAUCCACUCUUCUCUUGAGUCAGGACUUGAGAAAGAAGGUAAAUAUCCAUUCCAAAUGGUAUCCACUAAAGCACUAAAGGCUUGCUAAAUAAACAACUGUGCAAUGCUGAAAAUGUUCCCAAGAAGAUGCAGAGGAGAGAAAGAGUUAAGAUGGGCCAAAGGAGCAGGUGGGGAAAGUGGGCAAGCAGGUUUAUUAUGUAGAAAACACAGGCAACAUCAAAUUGCAAGUGGGAUUAUUAUUGUGUAGCAGAUUUGUACUGCUGCUGCUCAGGAAAUGCUAAGGAAACAAACAAACAAAAAUCCAUUUCAGUUUUCAAAUCAGUGGAUAAAACCAGUACAGUGUUGAAAAGUUCAGCACCCUGUCUUGGUUCAAAAUGGGAUGCACUUGUAUCCAAACACAGACAAAAAAAAUUGGUCAAUGGUCUCAGAAACUCCCAUGCAAAAUAUGAUUAUGAUAUUUCAAGGGGUGUCCAAACGCAUUACAAAUAAACAAAAAACAUUUCCAAAAUAUAUAGUAAAUUUGCGUUGUACAUUUAUAUCUUGCUGUUCUUGCAUGGAGCUUCCCACACCCCAAUGUUUAAAUCCCAAUGACCCCAAUGACUAAGAGAGAGCAACUGGUCCAAGGUCUUCUGACGAGCGACAGGUUUGAUACAACAUUUGAACCCAGGUCUCCUGAAGUCUGCAGUCUGCAGUCUCGCUGCACAUCAUGUGACUAGAGAAUAGCAUUGGCCAACCUUACAG
This 2862-nucleotide long non-coding RNA is filed under the name Podarcis lilfordi (Lilford's wall lizard). The record is from RNAcentral. Lineage: Eukaryota; Metazoa; Chordata; Lepidosauria; Squamata; Lacertidae.